RNAcentral lists this ribosomal RNA (245 nucleotides) under uncultured bacterium. RNAcentral's name for it is "partial 16S ribosomal RNA". It matches the Rfam family "Bacterial small subunit ribosomal RNA", at positions 109 to 354 of the family's 1533-position model. The record is from RNAcentral.
AGUAACGCGUGGGCAACCUGCCCCGCACUGGGGGACAACAGCCGGAAACGGCUGCUAAUACCGCAUAUGCGCACAGCUUUGCAUGAAGCAGUGUGGAAAACUCCGGUGGUGCGGGAUGGGCCCGCGUCUGAUUAGCCGGCUGGCGGGGCAACGGCCCACCAAGGCGACGAUCAGUAGCCGGCCUGAGAGGGUGGACGGCCACAUUGGGACUGAGACACGGCCCAGACUCCUACGGGAGGCAGCAG